Molecule: long non-coding RNA, 417 nt
Filed under: Pan troglodytes (chimpanzee)
Lineage: Eukaryota; Metazoa; Chordata; Mammalia; Primates; Hominidae
Description: lincRNA
Source: RNAcentral
UUCAGCCAGGAGAGCGCUGAAGGGAUCUGAGCUGAAAGCAAGUCUCAAACUCAGAGAAUGGAGGAGCUGCCCCGGAAGUGGCUGCUCGAGGCUGCAGUGAACUAUGAUCCUGCGGCCAAUCGCGGUGGCUCACGCCUGUAAUCCCAGCCCUCUGGGAGGCCGAGGCGGGCGGAUCGCUUGAGGUCAGAAGUUCGACACUAGCCUGGCCAACGUGGUAAAACACCCUCUCUACAAAAAAAUGCAAAAAUCAGUUGGGUGUGGUGGCGCGCGCCUGUGGUCCCAGCUACUCAGGAGGCUGAGGUGGGAGGAACGCUUGAGCCUGGGAGGCGGAAGUUACAGUGAGUCGAGAUCGCCCCACUGCACUCCAGCCUGGACAAGAGAAUGAGACCCUGCCUAAAAAUAAAAUACAUGAGCCGA